Molecule: ribosomal RNA, 485 nt
Filed under: uncultured bacterium
Lineage: Bacteria
Description: partial 16S ribosomal RNA
Rfam family: Bacterial small subunit ribosomal RNA
Source: RNAcentral
AUUGAACGCUGGCGGCAGGCCUAACACAUGCAAGUCGAGCGGAUGAAGGGAGCUUGCUCCUGGAUUCAGCGGCGGACGGGUGAGUAAUGCCUAGGAAUCUGCCUGGUAGUGGGGGAUAACGUCCGGAAACGGGCGCUAAUACCGCAUACGUCCUGAGGGAGAAAGUGGGGGAUCUUCGGACCUCACGCUAUCAGAUGAGCCUAGGUCGGAUUAGCUAGUUGGUGGGGUAAAGGCCUACCAAAGGCGACGAUCCGUAACUGGUCUGAGAGGAUGAUCAGUCACACUGGAACUGGGACACGGUCCAGACUCCUACGGGAGGCAGCAGUGGGGAAUAUUGGACAAUGGGCGAAAGCCUGAUCCAGCCAUGCCGCGUGUGUGAAGAAGGUCUUCGGAUUGUAAAGCACUUUAAGUUGGGAGGAAGGGCAGUAAGUUAAUACCUUGCUGUUUUGACGUUACCAACAGAAUAAGCACCGGCUAACUUCGUG